UACGGGAGGCAGCAGUGAGGAAUAUUGGUCAAUGGGCGCAAGCCUGAACCAGCCAUGCCGCGUGCAGGAUGACGGUCCUAUGGAUUGUAAACUGCUUUUGUACAGGAAGAAACACUCCCUCGUGAGGGAGCUUGACGGUACUGUAAGAAUAAGGAUCGGCUAACUCCGUGCCAGCAGCCGCGGUAAUA
This 188-nucleotide ribosomal RNA is filed under the name uncultured Bacteroidota bacterium. RNAcentral describes it as "uncultured Bacteroidetes bacterium partial 16S ribosomal RNA". It matches the Rfam family "Bacterial small subunit ribosomal RNA", at positions 340 to 525 of the family's 1533-position model. Lineage: Bacteria; Pseudomonadati; Bacteroidota. The record is from RNAcentral.